This 305-nucleotide ribosomal RNA is filed under the name uncultured bacterium. RNAcentral describes it as "bacterial SSU rRNA". It matches the Rfam family "Bacterial small subunit ribosomal RNA", at positions 337 to 640 of the family's 1533-position model. The record is from RNAcentral.
ACCUACGGGGGGCAGCAGUGAGGAAUAUUGGUCAAUGGUCGGGAGACUGAACCAGCCAAGCCGCGUGAGGGAGGAAGGUACAGAGUAUCGUAAACCCCUUUUGUCAGGGAACAAAGGCGGGGACGUGUCCCCGGAUGAGUGUACCUGAAGAAAAAGCAUCGGCUAACUCCGUGCCAGCAGCCGCGGUAAUACGGAGGAUGCGAGCGUUAUCCGGAUUUAUUGGGUUUAAAGGGUGCGCAGGCGGUCUGUUAAGUCAGCGGUCAAAGCCCGGGGCUCAACCCCGGCCCGCCGUUGAAACUGGCCGU